AAGGAAUGCACUCGGAUGUUUUAAAAAAAAUGUGUUUGGUCAUUGUCAAAGAUGAUGAAGAAGUGGAUGUGUUUUUAUCACAGUUGAGAAAGCACGCUUGAUAAGGAUGAUUUCGAAAUGAAACGGAGGAAUAUGUUAAACUUGUAUAUAUCAUCUAAUUUUUUGUUCCGCAGCAACGGCCACUUGACUAGUCAAAUCAAAAUUUAGACAACGGUGUCAUAUCUGUACGGCUGUACCCACCGUCCUCGUCUGCUCUGGUCGGUGUCGCCUCGUCAGAUCCCGUAGCAACUCUGUGUCGAUGUCGGGGACCAGGCCACAUGCCUGUCAGUCCGACGUGGACCUGACGCGGCCGAUGCGCCUCAUCCGUCCACGUUUACGCUUGAGCGAUCCUACGUGGCCUAGUUUGCUUGUUGUAUUAUACCGGGUGUCGUGGUGGUGUCUCGAAAGAUGCCAUGUGAUGGUUUAACUUGGAACCGAUGGAUGAUGGAGGAUCCGGAGGAGGGAGGAUGUGAAGAGAAACACGCACAAAUCACACAAACACACACGGAUCUACCCAGGUUCGGAGCCCUUUUGCCGAGGUAAAACUCCUACUCCUGUUUUCUUGUAUUAGCCGGGAUAGACAAACUUUUACAAUGGUGCUUCUUAAGCUGUAUUCUUGAGUAAGAAAAAGAAGAAGGGAAAAACCCUAAAUGACUAAGUGCACCUCUCCUUUCUUGAGGGGGGUAAGGUUCUAUUUAUAGGCCGACCAUA
This is a long non-coding RNA of Brachypodium distachyon (stiff brome), 750 nucleotides long. RefSeq lists it as uncharacterized. The record is from RefSeq and is a predicted model, not a curated record. Lineage: Eukaryota; Viridiplantae; Streptophyta; Magnoliopsida; Poales; Poaceae. The transcript has 2 exons.